Molecule: long non-coding RNA, 381 nt
Filed under: Brachypodium distachyon (stiff brome)
Lineage: Eukaryota; Viridiplantae; Streptophyta; Magnoliopsida; Poales; Poaceae
Description: long non-coding RNA (BDIS_LNC000571)
Source: RNAcentral
AAGCAAUUUGAUGGAUUUAAAAGUUAGUGGAGCAUUAUCAUCUAUCACCUCGGUUUCUUGGGGUUUCACGGUGGGUUCCCCAUCAUCGCCGGCCAUACACUUAAGAGCGGUAAAGCCCUAAUUAAGAUACGAGGCUCUGAUACCAAUUGAAAGAUCGUAUGGUCGACUAGAGGGUAGGUGAAUAGGAGACUAACAAAUUUUAGUUUUUCUUUUUCUUUUCUUGAAAGAUACAAACACUUAAUCCUAGAGCUUUCUAGAUUCUCUAAAGUCAAUGCAACCCUAGAAUGAAAUGCAAUAGCCCAAGCAAUAGCCGAAGCAACAAUAGAUAGCAAGAAUGUAAAGGGGAAAUGAUACCACACGUGGAGACGAAGAUUUCACCGG